Molecule: ribosomal RNA, 379 nt
Filed under: uncultured bacterium
Lineage: Bacteria
Description: bacterial SSU rRNA
Rfam family: Bacterial small subunit ribosomal RNA
Source: RNAcentral
UAAUACGUAGGUGGCAAGCGUUGUCCGGAAUUAUUGGGCGUAAAGCGCGCGCAGGCGGCUUCUUAAGUCUGAUGUGAAAUCUUGCGGCUCAACUGCAAGCGGUCAUUGGAAACUGGGAGGCUUGAGUGCAGAAGAGGAGAGUGGAAUUCCACGUGUAGCGGUGAAAUGCGUAGAGAUGUGGAGGAACACCAGUGGCGAAGGCGGCUCUCUGGUCUGUAACUGACGCUGAGGCGCGAAAGCGUGGGGAGCAAACAGGAUUAGAUACCCUGGUAGUCCACGCCGUAAACGAUGAGUGCUAAGUGUUAGAGGGUUUCCACCCUUUAGUGCUGCAGCUAACGCAUUAAGCACUCCGCCUGGGGAGUACGGCCGCAAGGCUGAA